Cyprinus carpio (common carp) is the source of this 431-nucleotide long non-coding RNA. RefSeq lists it as uncharacterized. Lineage: Eukaryota; Metazoa; Chordata; Actinopteri; Cypriniformes; Cyprinidae. The transcript has 5 exons. The record is from RefSeq and is a predicted model, not a curated record.
UGUGGGAACCUCAAUAAGGUCGUGUUGUGUUUCGAUAGAGAGUAUUCUGGGACCCCAGUGUUAACCUCUUUGGACAUGUGGGAAGUACUACGGCCAGUCGAGGGGAACUGUUUCUCUUCUGGAAUCUCUACAAAGCUCCCAUACUGCUGGCUCUGAUGGCGGGAGAGGCUGCAGGCAUUAUGGAGAAAUAUCAGUGAUGAUGUCAUCGUUGGCCGUUGUUUGGCAAUCCUCAAGGGCAUCUUUGGAAGCAGUGCAGUACCUCAGCCAAAGGAGACGGUGGUGAGUCGCUGGCGAGCCGACCCUUGGGCCCGUGGGUCUUACUCGUAUGUAGCGGCCGGUUCAUCUGGUAAUGACUAUGAUCUCAUGGCCCAGCCCAUCACACCUGGUCCUGCCAUACCUGGAGCCUCACAGCCUGUUCCAAGUCUGUUUUU